This 325-nucleotide ribosomal RNA is filed under the name uncultured eukaryote. RNAcentral's name for it is "partial 18S ribosomal RNA". It matches the Rfam family "Eukaryotic small subunit ribosomal RNA", at positions 1470 to 1796 of the family's 1831-position model. The record is from RNAcentral.
CCCUUAGAUGUUCUGGGCUGCACGCGCGCUACACUGGUGCGUUCAGCGAGUUUAGCACCUUAACAGAUAUGUUUGGGUAAUCUUCUGAAAACGCACCGUGAUGGGGAUCGAUUAUUGUAAUUAUUAAUCGUCAACGAGGAAUUCCUAGUAAGUGUGAAUCAUCAGUUCGCGCUGAUUACGUCCCUGCCCUUUGUACACGCCGCCCGUCGCUGCUACCGAUUGAGUGGUCCGGUGAAUUAUUCGGACCGGUGGACUGUGGGGUAACUCGCGGUCUGCUGGGAAGUCUUGUGAACCUUAUCACUUAGAGGAAGCAGAAGUCGUAACA